Molecule: ribosomal RNA, 253 nt
Filed under: uncultured bacterium
Lineage: Bacteria
Description: partial 16S ribosomal RNA
Rfam family: Bacterial small subunit ribosomal RNA
Source: RNAcentral
UACGGGGGGGGCAAGCGUUGUUCGGAAUGACUGGGCGUAAAGGGCGCGUAGGCGGCCCGCUAAGUCAGACGUGAAAUCCCUCGGCUCAACCGGGGAACUGCGUCUGAUACUGGCAGGCUUGAAUCCGGGAGAGGGAUGUGGAAUUCCAGGUGUAGCGGUGAAAUGCGUAGAUAUCUGGAGGAACACCGGUGGCGAAGGCGGCAUCCUGGACCGGUAUUGACGCUGAGGCGCGAAAGCCAGGGGAGCAAACAGG